RNAcentral lists this ribosomal RNA (617 nucleotides) under uncultured Legionella sp. RNAcentral describes it as "bacterial SSU rRNA". It matches the Rfam family "Bacterial small subunit ribosomal RNA", at positions 242 to 849 of the family's 1533-position model. Lineage: Bacteria; Pseudomonadati; Pseudomonadota; Gammaproteobacteria; Legionellales; Legionellaceae. The record is from RNAcentral.
UAGCUAGUUGGUAGGGUAAAAGCCUACCAAGGCGACGAUCGGUAGCUGGUCUGAGAGGAUGGACAGCCACACUGGGACUGAGACACGGCCCAGACUCUUACGGGAGGCAGCAGUGGGGAAUAUUGGACAAUGGGGGGAACCCUGAUCCAGCGAUGCCGCGUGUGUGAAGAAGGCCUGCGGGUUGUAAAGCACUUUCGUUAGGGAGGAGGGUGAUUUGGUUAAGAGCUGGAUUACUGGACGUUACCUAAAGAAGAAGCACCGGCUAACUCCGUGCCAGCAGCCGCGGUAAUACGGAGGGUGCGAGCGUUAAUCGGAAUUACUGGGCGUAAAGGGUGCGUAGGUGGUUUAUUAAGUUAGGUGUAAAAUUCCUGGGCUUAACCUAGGGAGGCCAGCUAAGACUGAUAGACUUGGAGUAUAGGAGAGGGUAGUGGAAUUUCCGGUGUAGCGGUGAAAUGCGUAGAGAUCGGAAGGAACACCGGUGGCGAAGGCGACUACCUGGCCUGAUACUGACACUGAGGCACGAAAGCGUGGGGAGCAAACAGGAUUAGAUACCCUGGUAGUCCACGCUGUAAACGAUGUCAACUAGCUGUUGGUCAUAUGAAUAUGACAAGUGGCGC